RNAcentral lists this ribosomal RNA (292 nucleotides) under uncultured bacterium. RNAcentral's name for it is "partial 16S ribosomal RNA". It matches the Rfam family "Bacterial small subunit ribosomal RNA", at positions 505 to 796 of the family's 1533-position model. The record is from RNAcentral.
GUGUCAGCCGCCGCGGUAAUACAGAGGGUGCAAGCGUUAAUCGGAAUCACUGGGCUUAAAGCGUUCGUAGGCGGGCUUGCAGGCACUUUGUGAAAGCCCCCGGCUCAACCGGGGAACUGCUUGGUGAACCUCAAGUCUUGAGUCAAGUAGGGGCGGUCGGAACGAUAGGUGGAGCGGUGAAAUGCGUAGAUAUCUAUCGGAACGCCGAAGGUGAAGACAGGCCGCUGGGCUUGAACUGACGCUGAGGAACGAAAGCGUGGGGAGCAAACGGGAUUAGAUACCCUUGUAGUCC